Non-coding RNA from Gasterosteus aculeatus (three-spined stickleback), 75 nucleotides. The record is from Rfam. Lineage: Eukaryota; Metazoa; Chordata; Actinopteri; Perciformes; Gasterosteidae.
GUCUCUGUGUCGCAAUUGGUCAGCGCAUUCGGCUGUUAACCGAAAGGUUGGUGGUUCAAGCCCACCCCAGAGACG